AUUGAACGCUGGCGGCAGGCCUAACACAUGCAAGUCGAGCGGAUGAAGGGAGCUUGCGCCUGGAGUCAGCGGCGGACGGGUGAGUAAUGCCUAGGAAUCUGCCUGGUAGUGGGGUAUAACGUCCUGAAACGGGCGCUAAUACCGCAUACGUCCUGAUGGUGAAAGAUGGUGGGGUUCGGACAGCACGCUAUCAGAGGAGCCUAGGCCGGGUUAGCCAGUUGGUGGGGUAAAGGCCUACCUAGGCGACUAUCCGCAACUCGUCGGAGUGGAUGAUCAGUCACCCUGGAAGGUAGCCACGGUCCAGACUCCUGCGGGACGCAGCAGUGUCGAAUGUUGGACAGUGGUGGGAAGCCUGGUCCAGUGGUGCGGCGUGUGUGACGGCGGUCUUCGGAUUGUAAUGAAGGUCUAGUUGGUGGGAAGCGCAGUCGGUUAAUACCUUGCUGUUUUGACGUUACCAGCUGAAUAAGCACCGGCUAACUUCGUG
Molecule: ribosomal RNA, 484 nt
Filed under: uncultured bacterium
Lineage: Bacteria
Description: partial 16S ribosomal RNA
Rfam family: Bacterial small subunit ribosomal RNA
Source: RNAcentral